This 428-nucleotide ribosomal RNA is filed under the name bacterium. Its description in RNAcentral is "partial 16S ribosomal RNA". It matches the Rfam family "Bacterial small subunit ribosomal RNA", at positions 355 to 776 of the family's 1533-position model. The record is from RNAcentral.
UAGGGAAUCUUCGGCAAUGGGGGCAACCCUGACCGAGCAACGCCGCGUGAGUGAAGAAGGUUUUCGGAUCGUAAAGCUCUGUUGUAAGAGAAGAACGUGUGUGAGAGUGGAAAGUUCACACAGUGACGGUAACUUACCAGAAAGGGACGGCUAACUACGUGCCAGCAGCCGCGGUAAUACGUAGGUCCCGAGCGUUGUCCGGAUUUAUUGGGCGUAAAGCGAGCGCAGGCGGUUUAAUAAGUCUGAAGUUAAAGGCAGUGGCUUAACCAUUGUUCGCUUUGGAAACUGUUAAACUUGAGUGCAGAAGGGGAGAGUGGAAUUCCAUGUGUAGCGGUGAAAUGCGUAGAUAUAUGGAGGAACACCGGUGGCGAAAGCGGCUCUCUGGUCUGUAACUGACGCUGAGGCUGAAAGCGUGGGGAGCAAACAGG